Molecule: unclassified non-coding RNA, 343 nt
Filed under: uncultured Xylodon
Lineage: Eukaryota; Fungi; Basidiomycota; Agaricomycetes; Hymenochaetales; Schizoporaceae
Description: sequence contains ITS1
Rfam family: 5.8S ribosomal RNA (bases 1-105)
Source: RNAcentral
GAAAUGCGAUAAGUAAUGUGAAUUGCAGAAUUCAGUGAAUCAUCGAAUCUUUGAACGCACCUUGCGCUCCUUGGUAUUCCGAGGAGCAUGCCUGUUUGAGUGUCGUGAAAUCAUCAACUCCCUUUACUUUUUGGUGAAGGUGAGCUUGGAUUUGGGGACUUGCUGGCCUUUACGGGUUCUGGCUUCCCUUGAAUGCAUUAGCUGGUAAUUGAUUUGCAGCAUAUAUGCGGUGUGAUAAUGUCUUCACUGUGUAGCUCAAGUCGACUGGCUUCUAAUCGUCCUUCACGGGACAACAUUUUGAUCAUUAGACCUCAAAUCAGGUAGGACUACCCGCUGAACUUAA